Molecule: non-coding RNA, 226 nt
Organism: Pelobates cultripes (western spadefoot toad)
Lineage: Eukaryota; Metazoa; Chordata; Amphibia; Anura; Pelobatidae
Source: the annotation of a GenBank genome assembly
GAUGCUCCUAGCACUUCCUGAGGACUCCAAGCACUGCAGCAGACACCAAAACCACCGAACCGGAGAAACAAAUAAAUUCUCCCAAGCAUAUGAAUGCUGUACACAGUUGAAUAGGAACCAUACAAAUAGGUUUACUCUCCUAGCAGUCAAACUGGAACAGCAUACAAUAAAUCCUUCCCCCAAUAAUGAGACAACACUUCACUUUGAGGGUUAAAACAGGAACUCC